Molecule: ribosomal RNA, 397 nt
Filed under: uncultured bacterium
Lineage: Bacteria
Description: partial 16S ribosomal RNA
Rfam family: Bacterial small subunit ribosomal RNA
Source: RNAcentral
AUACGUAGGGGGCGAGCGUUGUCCGGAAUGAUUGGGCGUAAAGGGUGCGUAGGCGGCCCGGUAAGUCUGGAGUGAAAGUCCUGUUUUUAAGAUGGGAAUUGCUUUGGAUACUGUCGGGCUUGAGUGCAGGAGAGGUAAGUGGAAUUCCCAGUGUAGCGGUGAAAUGCGUAGAGAUUGGGAGGAACACCAGUGGCGAAGGCGACGUACUGGACUGUAACUGACGCUGAGGCGCGAAAGUGUGGGGAGCAAACAGGAUUAGAUACCCUGGUAGUCCACACUGUAAACGAUGAAUGCUAGGUGUAGGGGGUAUCGACCCCUUCUGUGCCGCAGUCAACACAAUAAGCAUUCCGCCUGGGGAGUACGGCCGCAAGGUUGAAACUCAAAGGAAUUGACGUGG